GUGCGGCGGGGCCCUUUACAUGGCAAGUCGAGCGAAUGGAUUGAGAGCUUGCUCUCAAGAAGUUAGCGGCGGACGGGUGAGUAACACGUGGGUAACCUGCCCAUAAGACUGGGAUAACUCCGGGAAACCGGGGCUAAUACCGGAUAAUAUUUUGAACUGCAUGGUUCGAAAUUGAAAGGCGGCUUCGGCUGUCACUUAUGGAUGGACCCGCGUCGCAUUAGCUAGUUGGUGAGGUAACGGCUCACCAAGGCAACGAUGCGUAGCCGACCUGAGAGGGUGAUCGGCCACACUGGGACUGAGACACGGCCCAGACUCCUACGGGAGGCAGCAGUAGGGAAUCUUCCGCAAUGGACGAAAGUCUGACGGAGCAACGCCGCGUGAGUGAUGAAGGCUUUCGGGUCGUAAAACUCUGUUGUUAGGGAAGAACAAGUGCUAGUUGAAUAAGCUGGCACCUUGACGGUACCUAACCAGAAAGCCACGGCUAACUACGUGCCAGCAGCCGCGGUAAUACGUAGGUGGCAAGCGUUAUCCGGAAUUAUUGGGCGUAAAGCGCGCGCAGGUGGUUUCUUAAGUCUGAUGUGAAAGCCCACGGCUCAACCGUGGAGGGUCAUUGGAAACUGGGAGACUUGAGUGCAGAAGAGGAAAGUGGAAUUCCAUGUGUAGCGGUGAAAUGCGUAGAGAUAUGGAGGAACACCAGUGGCGAAGGCGACUUUCUGGUCUGUAACUGACACUGAGGCGCGAAAGCGUGGGGAGCAAACAGGAUUACAUACCCUGGUAGUCCACGCCGUAAACGAUGAGUGCUUAGUGUUAGAGGGUUCCGCCCUUUAUGCUUAAGUUACGUAUUAAGUCUCCGCCUGGUGAGUCCGGCUCUAAGGUUAAACUCAAUGAUUUGAAGGGGCCUACACUAUUGUGUACAUUUGGUCAAUUGAACUACGCUAAUACCUUUC
RNAcentral lists this ribosomal RNA (947 nucleotides) under Bacillus sp. (in: firmicutes). Its description in RNAcentral is "bacterial SSU rRNA". It matches the Rfam family "Bacterial small subunit ribosomal RNA", at positions 37 to 974 of the family's 1533-position model. Lineage: Bacteria; Bacillati; Bacillota; Bacilli; Caryophanales; Bacillaceae. The record is from RNAcentral.